Long non-coding RNA from Aegilops tauschii subsp. strangulata, 444 nucleotides. RefSeq lists it as uncharacterized. The record is from RefSeq and is a predicted model, not a curated record. Lineage: Eukaryota; Viridiplantae; Streptophyta; Magnoliopsida; Poales; Poaceae.
AGCCGGAGCAAAAUAAUAGCCAUCUACUAGUGAUUGGUCUUAUGAAGAACACAAGGGCAUUGUGCUUGCUUGCUCUUAUUGUCAUUUCCACCACUUUCUUGUCCUGCCAUGCAGCAGGUACAAUGGACCUUGGACCUAUUCUUGGGUGUGUAAAGAUGAAAAAAGCUUGCUCAGUUAAUGGGUGCUUGCGGCAAUGUGCCUCUCAUGGUUGGAAUACCCACAGAUGCAUUUGCACCGAUGUUGGCCAUUGUUGUCACUACGCGGAGGCAAUGGCACCAAAUUGAUAGUAGUAGUAUGAUAUAUUGUUGUUAGCCAUGUCCUCUUGCUUUGCAAGGGUGAAUAUUAAUCAUCUAUGUCACCGCUGAUAUAAUAGAUGAGGAAGAUAUAAUAAAUUAAAAGCUAUAUAGUUGAAUUAUACUAUUUAUGAAGGGACUAUUCGGGCUA